GAUCAUGGCUCAGGAUGAACGCUAGCGGCAGGCUUAACACAUGCAAGUCGAGGGGCAGCAUAAUGGAUAGCAAUAUCUAUGGUGGCGACCGGCGCACGGGUGCGUAACGCGUAUGCAACCUACCUUUAACAGGGGGAUAACACUGAGAAAUUGGUACUAAUACCCCAUAAUAUCAUAGAAGGCAUCUUUUAUGGUUGAAAAUUCCGAUGGUUAGAGAUGGGGCAUGCGUUGUUA
Molecule: ribosomal RNA, 234 nt
Filed under: uncultured bacterium
Lineage: Bacteria
Description: partial 16S ribosomal RNA
Rfam family: Bacterial small subunit ribosomal RNA
Source: RNAcentral